Molecule: ribosomal RNA, 364 nt
Filed under: uncultured bacterium
Lineage: Bacteria
Description: bacterial SSU rRNA
Rfam family: Bacterial small subunit ribosomal RNA
Source: RNAcentral
UUGUCCGGAAUUACUGGGUGUAAAGGGAGCGUAGGCGGGACGGUAAGUCAGGUGUGAAAUAUACGUGCUCAACAUGUAGACUGCACUUGAAACUGCUGUUCUUGAGUGAAGUAGAGGUAAGCGGAAUUCCUAGUGUAGCGGUGAAAUGCGUAGAUAUUAGGAGGAACAUCGGUGGCGAAGGCGGCUUACUGGGCUUUUACUGACGCUGAGGCUCGAAAGCGUGGGGAGCAAACAGGAUUAGAUACCCUGGUAGUCCACGCUGUAAACGAUGAUUACUAGGUGUGGGGGGACUGACCCCUUCCGUGCCGCAGUUAACACAGUAAGUAAUCCACCUGGGGAGUACGACCGCAAGGUUGAAACUCAA